UACAGAGGUCUCAAGCGUUGUUCGGAUUCAUUGGGCGUAAAGGGUGCGUAGGUGGCGCCGUAAGUCAGGUGUGAAAUCUCGGGGCUCAACCCCGAAACUGCACUUGAUACUGCGGUGCUCGAGUACUGGAGAGGAGAUUGGAAUUUACGGUGUAGCAGUGAAAUGCGUAGAUAUCGUAAGGAAGACCAGUGGCGAAGGCGAACCUCUGGACAGUUACUGACACUGAGGCACGAAGGCCAGGGGAGCAAACGGG
This 253-nucleotide ribosomal RNA is filed under the name uncultured bacterium. Its description in RNAcentral is "partial 16S ribosomal RNA". It matches the Rfam family "Bacterial small subunit ribosomal RNA", at positions 524 to 776 of the family's 1533-position model. The record is from RNAcentral.